Molecule: ribosomal RNA, 483 nt
Filed under: uncultured bacterium
Lineage: Bacteria
Description: bacterial SSU rRNA
Rfam family: Bacterial small subunit ribosomal RNA
Source: RNAcentral
AGUCACGAGUUGAUCCUGGCUCAGAUUGAACGCUGGCGGCAUGCCUUACACAUGCAAGUCGAACGGCAGCACGGGAGCAAUCCUGGUGGCGAGUGGCGAACGGGUGAGUAAUAUAUCGGAACGUGCCCGGUCGUGGGGGAUAACGUAGCGAAAGCUACGCUAAUACCGCAUACGAUCUACGGAUGAAAGCGGGGGAUCGCAAGACCUCGCGCGAUUGGAGCGGCCGAUAUCAGAUUAGGUAGUUGGUGAGGUAAAGGCUCACCAAGCCGACGAUCUGUAGCUGGUCUGAGAGGACGACCAGCCACACUGGGACUGAGACACGGCCCAGACUCCUACGGGAGGCAGCAGUGGGGAAUAUUGGACAAUGGGCGAAAGCCUGAUCCAGCAAUGCCGCGUGAGUGAUGAAGGCCUUAGGGUUGUAAAGCUCUUUUACCCGGGAUGAUAAUGACAGUACCGGGAGAAUAAGCUCCGGCUAACUCCGUG